UGAGUACAGAUCUGCUGGCCUCGCCCUAUU
RNAcentral lists this non-coding RNA (30 nucleotides) under Homo sapiens (human). Lineage: Eukaryota; Metazoa; Chordata; Mammalia; Primates; Hominidae. The record is from RNAcentral.